Molecule: RNA transcript, 1524 nt
Organism: Olea europaea var. sylvestris
Lineage: Eukaryota; Viridiplantae; Streptophyta; Magnoliopsida; Lamiales; Oleaceae
Exons: 2
Source: RefSeq, a predicted model, not a curated record
UUUACAGGAAAUGCAUGAUUUGCGUGUCGAGAAUUCUUUUUUCCAUUAUAAUUUGACUACAAUUUAUUUUCUCCACAAUUUCCUCUCAAAUGAAUCUCAUGGAUCGCUUUGCAGGGAAUUUGAGAUCGAAAGUUUCACCAUUAAAUGGAAAAAUGGUUUUCGCUGAAAUAUUGAAAAAGGGACAUAAACGAGGUUCUGAGAGUCGAGGAAAGGUUUUGUGGAAAUCUUCGUCGUUCUAGUGCAGGUACGGAAUUUUUAAUUGCUAUCUCAGGUUUCAAUGGAAACAGAUAUAUUUGGAGUGAUUUUAGUGCUUGACAAAAGCUUGUUCAUUUCAAUGAUGAAUGUGAUAGAAGUUCAAGACUUUUAUGGCAUGUUUGAUCCAGGGAAUCGACUCUCCACAACUCAACAUUAUUAAAGUGUUAUCAAUUGACCUGUUGAGUUGUUUCUCAUUGCAUAUCAAAAAAAUUUCUAACUACUUCGAUGGUUGCAAGGCGGGUGCGGUCAACAGUGACAAUUGUUUCCAUCCUAUGUUCAAUCGGCCAUCCCCUAAAGCAUAAAAUAACGCUGAAUAGUAAUUCAAGGCCUCCAUAAAUCUCCCUAGAAAGCUAACCCCAUGACUUAAGUCUUGUUCAGCAACAGUGAUGAAUUUAGGCUUUGACAAAGUCAACAAUGUCAAUGUUCCUAUACAACUCCCUGUAAUGUCAUACAAGCAAUGGUGCAUUCAAUGCACCCCAAUAGUUUCUCCAAUCCUAGUUUCCCAAUUGACUGAGAUCCUUGUGUUGCCAAUUUUGCCUUCCAAAUGCUAGAAAUGGGAAGGAAUGCUAAGUGCGUAGAUGAACUCUUGUAAAGCUGGCACGUUGAGUUCAAUAGUCUCAUGGAGGGUCUAAUGCUGGUGAUUAGAAUGAACUUGAUUUUUUGCAAUUUGCAGUCGAGGAUAUUGAACAAUCCCAGCCAUUGGAUGCCCUGCACAAUGUCAUGGUCAAUGAUGUGGACAUGAUCAGCAUGUUCAAGGGCCUGUUGAAUGGCUUGACUGGCUGUGAAAUGUGAGAAUUUGAUUAAAAAGGUGACGGAGUUGAAGAUUGGAGGCGUUGAGGAGCUUCUGAUGGUAGGUUUUGAUGAGCGUGGUGAGAGGGGAGUAGGUGUCCGGGUAGGAGCUGGUGAUCUGAGCUGAAAUGGCGUCGAGGAAGUAAGUUGCCAUGUGCUGAGCAGACAAGCCAAACCGAGAUUACACUCGGCUGUCCAGGUCGAGUUGACUGGCAUUGUCCAAGUGUCCAUGGCUACACACUCAGUGGAUUGUAGGAGGAGGCCAAGGAGGCGGAUCUUCCUGUGAUUCUUGUUCCUUCUUAAUGGAGAUUGAAAUUUUGUUUUAUGAUAUGGGUUUUCGAUUUUUAGUAAUUAUGUUAACAAUGGAUACACUCUACGACAUUGAUCGGUGCUCACAUUUAGAACCAAUCAUGACUCAAAAUGGACUAGUUUGACAUUGACUAAAAAUCAAUACAUCUAAGAUUUUUAUGUUACUUUAAA